UACGAAGGGGGCUAGCGUUGCUCGGAAUCACUGGGCGUAAAGCGCACGUAGGCGGAUCGUUAAGUCAGGGGUGAAAUCCUGGAGCUCAACUCCAGAACUGCCCUUGAUACUGGCGACCUUGAGUUCGGGAGAGGUGAGUGGAACUGCGAGUGUAGAGGUGAAAUUCGUAGAUAUUCGCAAGAACACCAGUGGCGAAGGCGGCUCACUGGCCCGAUACUGACGCUGAGGUGCGAAAGCGCGGGGAGCAAACAGG
RNAcentral lists this ribosomal RNA (253 nucleotides) under uncultured bacterium. RNAcentral describes it as "partial 16S ribosomal RNA". It matches the Rfam family "Bacterial small subunit ribosomal RNA", at positions 524 to 776 of the family's 1533-position model. The record is from RNAcentral.